Molecule: non-coding RNA, 266 nt
Organism: Pelobates cultripes (western spadefoot toad)
Lineage: Eukaryota; Metazoa; Chordata; Amphibia; Anura; Pelobatidae
Source: the annotation of a GenBank genome assembly
AGGUCAUGUUAUAGAUUGCAUUACUCUUGUAUUUUAGUUUAAAAAUUUGGUCUGUACACCUUUAAAGGGACACUCCAGACACCCAAACAACUUAAGUGCAUUUGAUAUGUUUUGGCCUCAUUCAUAUCAUAUCAUUUACUUUUUCUCUGAAACUGCUAUGUUUAUGAAAAAAUGGGUUAACCAUAGCUGGACCUGGCACCCAGACCACUUCAUAAAGCUGAAGUGGUCUCGGAGCCUAGAGUGGUCCUUUAAGGGGUUAAAGGGAU